RNAcentral lists this ribosomal RNA (429 nucleotides) under Bacillota bacterium. RNAcentral describes it as "Firmicutes bacterium partial 16S ribosomal RNA". It matches the Rfam family "Bacterial small subunit ribosomal RNA", at positions 355 to 776 of the family's 1533-position model. Lineage: Bacteria; Bacillati; Bacillota. The record is from RNAcentral.
UAGGGAAUCUUCGGCAAUGGACGGAAGUCUGACCGAGCAACGCCGCGUGAGUGAAGAAGGUUUUCGGAUCGUAAAGCUCUGUUGUUAGAGAAGAACGUUGGUAGGAGUGGAAAAUCUACCAAGUGACGGUAACUAACCAGAAAGGGACGGCUAACUACGUGCCAGCAGCCGCGGUAAUACGAAUGUCCCGAGCGUUGUCCGGAGUUAUUGGGCGUAAAGGGAGUGCAGGCGGUUCUUUAAGUCUGAAGUUAAAGGCAGUGGCUUAACCGUUGUACGCUUUGAAAACUGGAGGACUUGAGUGCAGAAGGGGAGAGUGGAAUUCCAUGUGUAGCGGUGAAAUGCGUAGAUAUAUGGAGGAACACCGGUGGCGAAAGCGGCUCUCUGGUCUGUAACUGACGCUGAGGCUCGAAAGCGUGGGGAGCAAACAGG